UACGUCAAAUCAUCUGAGAGGAGAGCAACAACAUAGGUGAAAACGUGGAGCAGUGUUUUGCCUGAAGUGAUGAAGCCAGAUGCCAACGCAGUGGAAUCUGAACCCGGCAGAGUACAGCCAGCGCGUGCUGUGGUCGUGGAGCGGAUAAAUGCCAUCGCAUGAAGCGCUACACCCCCACGAAGAGAAAUCCAUGUCUUUCUUGGACUGCUCCUGCAUCUCCCCCACUCAGGUCCAGCCAAUCAGCAUAGAGGACCAGUAUGAGGACGUCAGCCACCAAUACCUGAGCUCCGACGUCUCAGAAUGCACUUUCGCCUGGGGUGGUGCAGGCAGCGAUGACAUCACAGCGCUCUCUGCUAACUCCGCCCACUACCAGCUGCUGUCAGAGCUGGGGAAAGGCUUCAACAACCUGAGCCAGGUGCGCAUGGCGCGCCACACCCCCUCCCGCCAGCUGGUGGCAGUCAAGAACACCAACCUGGAUGAGUGUACUGAGGAUGAGCUGCUACAGUUGAUGAACGAGGUUCUUCUCUCCAGGCUUUUCCGCCACCCCAACCUGCUGACCUCUCGCCUGGUCUUCAGCUCCUGCUGCCAGCUCUGGGUCCUCACACCACUCAUGGGCUACGGUUCGGCAGAUAGCCUGCUGAGGACCUUCUUCCCUGACGGGAUGAGUGAGUCCCUGAUCGCUUACCUCCUCCACGGAGUCCUGAAGGCUCUGCAAUACCUGCACCUCAUGGGCUACGUGCACAGGGGAGUGAAGGCCAGUCACAUCCUGCUGUCUGGGGAGGGCCGUGUCUACCUCUCGGGGCUUCACAGUGUUUACAGUAUGAUGCGGGAUGGGAAGAAGGUGAGGACCGUGUACGACAUGCCCCACCACAGCCCCGCCCUGCUACCCUGGCUCAGCCCAGAGCUGCUACGACAGGACCUGCAUGGCUAUGGGGUGAAGUCAGACAUCUACAGUCUGGGGAUAGUAGUCUGUGAGCUGGUCAGUGGCAGGGUGCCUUUCCAGGACAUGCCCCCUACACAGAUGCUGCUCCAGAAGCUGCGUGGGUCCCACUGCUGCCUGCUGGACGUGGCCCCCUCCCCCAUAGGGGAGCUGAGGGGGCUGAAGGUGUCCCGCUCCGGGGUGGACUCUGGCAUCGGGGAGAGUGUUGCCACGGGCAGCCUGACCCGCACCGCCACCGCCGAGAGACGUUAUACACAGGAGCAGCAGACGUUAUACACAGGAGCAGCAGACGUUAUACACAGGGGCAGCAGACGUUAUACACAGGAGCAGCAGACGUUAUACACAGGAGCAGCAGACGUUAUACAGGAGCAGCAGACGUUAUACACAGGGGUAGCAGACGUUAUACACAGGAGCAGCAGACGUUAUACAGGAGCAGCAGACGUUAUACACAGGAGCAGCAGACGUUAUACACAGGGGCAGCAGACGUUAUACAGGGGCAGCAGACGUUAAACACAGGGGCAGCAGACGUUAUACACAGGAGCAGCAGACGUUAUACACAGGAGCAGCAGACGUUAUACACAGGAGCAGCAGACGUUAUACACAGGGGCAGCAGACGUUAUACAGGGGCAGCAGACGUUAUACAGGGGCAGCAGACGUUAUACACAGGAGCAGCAGACGUUAUACACAGGGGCAGCAGACGUUAUACAGGGGCAGCAGACGUUAUACACAGGAGCAGCAGACGUUAUACAGGGGCAGCAGACGUUAUACAGGGGCAGCAGACGUUAUACACAGGAGCAGCAGACGUUAUACACAGGAGCAGCAGACGUUAUACAGGGGCAGCAGACGUUAUACACAGGAGCAGCAGACGUUCUACACAGGAGCAGCAGACGUUAUACACAGGAGCAGCAGACGUUAUACACAGGAGCAGCAGACGUUAUACACAGGGGCAGCAGACGUUAUACACAGGAGCAGCAGACGUUAUACAGGGGCAGCAGACGUUAUACACAGGAGCAGCAGACGUUACACACAGGAGCAGCAGACGUUAUACACAGGGGCAGCAGACGUUAUACAGGGGCAGCAGACGUUAUACAGGGGCAGCAGACGUUAUACACAGGAGCAGCAGACGUUAUACACAGGGGCAGCAGACGUUAUACACAGGAGCAGCAGACGUUAUACACAGGGGCAGCAGACGUUAUACACAGGAGCAGCAGACGUUAUACACAGGAGCAGCAGACGUUAUACAGGGGCAGCAGACGUUAUACACAGGGGCAGCAGACGUUCUACAGGGGCAGCAGACGUUCUACAGGAGCAGCAGACGUUAUACACAGGGGCAGCAGACGUUAUACACAGGAGCAGCAGACGUUAUACACAGGAGCAGCAGACGUUAUACAGGAGCAGCAGACGUGAUACACAGGGGUAGCAGACGUUAUACAGGGGCAGCAGACGUUAUACACAGGGGCAGCAGACGUUAUACACAGGGGCAGCAGACGUUAUACACAGGGGCAGCAGACGUUAUACACAGGAGCAGCAGACGUUAUACACAGGAGCAGCAGACGUUAUACAGGGGCAGCAGACGUUAUACAGGGGCAGCAGACGUUAUACACAGGAGCAGCAGACGUUAUACACAGGAGCAGCAGACGUUAUACACAGGGGCAGCAGACGUUAUACACAGGAGCAGCAGACGUUAUACACAGGGGCAGCAGACGUUAUACACAGGAGCAGCAGACGUUCUACACAGGGGCAGCAGACGUUAUACACAGGAGCAGCAGACGUUCUACACAGGAGCAGCAGACGUUCUACACAGGAGCAGCAGACGUUAUACACAGGGGCAGCAGACGUUCUACAGGGGCUCUGGUACCUCCGUUUGAAGUCGGUUCUUUCAUUCAAGGAACAAUUUUAAAUGUUCUUGUGUUCUGUCUGAAUUUCUGUCAUUUUUGAAAGGUGUGUAAUAUGUGAGAUUCCCAGUGCUGCUAGAUAUGACAGUGUUGUGGGACAUUAAGGCACGGUGUGACUGCUAGAUAUGACAGUGUUGUGGGACAUUAAGGCACGGUGUGACUGCUAGAUAUGACAGUGUUGUGGGACAUUAAGGCACGGUGUGACUGCUAGAUAUGACAGUGUUGUGGGACAUUAAGGCACGGUGUGACUGCUAGAUAUGACAGUGUUGUGGGACAUUAAGGCAUGGUGUGACUGCUAGAUAUGACAGUGUUGUGGGAUAUUAAGGCACGGUGUGACUGCUAGAUAUGACAGUGUUGUGGGACAUUAAGGCAUGGUGUGACUGCUAGAUAUGACAGUGUUGUGGGACAUUAAGGCACGGUGUGACUGCUAGAUAUGACUGUGUUGUGGGACAUUAAGGCAUGGUGUGACUGCUAGAUAUGACAGUGUUGUGGGACAUUAAGGCAUGGUGUGACUGCUAGAUAUGACAGUGUUGUGGGACAUUAAGGCAUGGUGUGACUGCUAGAUAUGACAGUGUUGUGGGACAUUAAGGCACGGUGUGACUGCUAGAUAUGACAGUGUUGUGGGACAUUAAGGCACGGUGUGACUGCUAGAUAUGACAGUGUUGUGGGACAUUAAGGCACGGUGUGACUGCUAGAUAUGACAGUGUUGUGGGACAUUAAGGCACGGUGUGACUGCUAGAUAUGACAGUGUUGUGGGACAUUAAGGCAUGGUGUGACUGCUAGAUAUGACAGUGUUGUGGGACAUUAAGGCAUGGUGUGACUGCUAGAUAUGACAGUGUUGUGGGACAUUAAGGCAUGGUGUGACUGCUAGAUAUGACAGUGUUGUGGGAUAUUAAGGCACGGUAUGACUGCUAGAUAUGACAGUGUUGUGGGACAUUAAGGCAUGGUGUGACUUUGUCCUGUUUUGGUGUUCCAUAGACCCUCUGCUUCUACACUGUUGACCCAUGCCUUCUUCAAACAGGUGAAAAGGCAUCAUACCCGGGACUCCUUCCUCAGUCUCAUGUACCCCGCGGUGCCCCUUGGAGUUUCCAGCCCCGAUGACCCCCAUGUGUCCUGCUCCCCUACCCC
This is a non-coding RNA of Oncorhynchus mykiss (rainbow trout), 3963 nucleotides long. Lineage: Eukaryota; Metazoa; Chordata; Actinopteri; Salmoniformes; Salmonidae. The record is from RefSeq and is a predicted model, not a curated record.